RNAcentral lists this ribosomal RNA (467 nucleotides) under uncultured bacterium. Its description in RNAcentral is "partial 16S ribosomal RNA". It matches the Rfam family "Bacterial small subunit ribosomal RNA", at positions 29 to 507 of the family's 1533-position model. The record is from RNAcentral.
ACGCACGCUGGCGGCGUGCUUAACACAUGCAAGUCGAACGGAAAGGCCCUGCUUUUGUGGGGUGCUCGAGUGGCGAACGGGUGAGUAACACGUGAGUAACCUGCCCUUGACUUUGGGAUAACUUCAGGAAACUGGGGCUAAUACCGGAUAGGAGCUCCUGCUGCAUGGUGGGGGUUGGAAAGUUUCGGCGGUUGGGGAUGGACUCGCGGCUUAUCAGCUUGUUGGUGGGGUAGUGGCUUACCAAGGCUUUGACGGGUAGCCGGCCUGAGAGGGUGACCGGGCACAUUGGGACUGAGAUACGGCCCAGACUCCUACGGGAGGCAGCAGUGGGGAAUAUUGCACAAUGGGCGGAAGCCUGAUGCAGCAACGCCGCGUGCGGGAUGACGGCCUUCGGGUUGUAAACCGCUUUCGCCUGUGACGAAGCGUGAGUGACGGUAAUGGGUAAAGAAGCACCGGCUAACUACGUG